UACGGAAGGCAGCAGUGGGGAAUAUUGCACAAUGGGCGAAAGCCUGAUGCAGCUAUGCCGCGUGUAUGAAGAAGGCCUUAGGGUUGUAAAGUACUUUCAUCGGGGAGGAAAAACAAAACUAAUAAUUUUAUUUCUUGACGUUACCCGAAAAAGAAGCACCGGCUAACUCCGUGCCAGCAGCCGCGGUAAUACGGAGGGUGCUAGCGUUAAUCAGAAUUACUGGGCGUAAAGAGCACGUAGGUGGUUUUUUUAAGUCAGAUGUGAAAUCCCUGGGCUUAACCUAGGAACUGCAUUUUGAAACUGAAAUACUAGAGUAUCGUAGAGGGAGGUAGAAUUCUAGGUGUAGCGGUGAAAUGCGUAGAUAUCUGGAGGAAUACCUGUGGCGAAAGCGGCCUCCUAAACGAAUACUGACACUGAGGUGCGAAAGCGUGGGGA
This 435-nucleotide ribosomal RNA is filed under the name uncultured bacterium. RNAcentral's name for it is "bacterial SSU rRNA". It matches the Rfam family "Bacterial small subunit ribosomal RNA", at positions 340 to 767 of the family's 1533-position model. The record is from RNAcentral.